Molecule: ribosomal RNA, 254 nt
Filed under: uncultured bacterium
Lineage: Bacteria
Description: partial 16S ribosomal RNA
Rfam family: Bacterial small subunit ribosomal RNA
Source: RNAcentral
UACAGAGGUCUCAAGCGUUGUUCGGAUUCAUUGGGCGUAAAGGGUGCGUAGGUGGCGCCGUAAGUCGGGUGUGAAAUUUCGGAGCUUAACUCCGAAACUGCAUUCGAUACUGCGGUGCUUGAGGACUGGAGAGGAGACUGGAAUUCAUGGUGUAGCAGUGAAAUGCGUAGAGAUCAUGAGGAAGACCAGUGGCGAAGGCGGGUCUCGUGGACAGUUCCUGACACUGAGGCACGAAGGCCAGGGGAGCAAACGGG